AGCUUCGGCACAAGGGCCCAACUGGAAUUCCACUUACAGACGGAGUCUCGCUGUGUCUCCCAGGCUGGAGUGCAGUGGCAAGAUCUUGGCUCACUGCAAGCUCCGCCUUCCGGGUUCACGCCAUUCUCCUGCCUCAGCCUCCCGAGUAGCUGGGACUACAGGCACCCGCCACCACACCUGGCUAAUUUUUUGUAUUUUUAGUAGAGACGAGGUUUCACCAUGUUAGCCAGGAUGGUUUCGAUCUCCUGACCUCGUGAUCCGCCCGCCUUGGCCUCCCAAAGUGCUGGGAUUAUAGGUGUGACCCGCCGCGCCCAGCCCCAGGCAGAACAACUGGGUCCUGAGAACUGGGCACUUUUCAAGGAUUGUCAGCAAGGAGCGACUUCCCAAAUAUACAUCUAGAAAGAUGACAAACUCACAUGGAAUGUGGAUUUAAGGAGGAAGGCCUGAUCUUUUGGCCAGAAGGAGAUUAAAAGGAUGCCCCUCAAGAUGGCUGUGCCUGUCAGCUGCAUGGAGCUUCGUUCAAGUAUUUUCUGAGCCUGAUGGAUUUACAGUGAUCUUCAGUGGUUUGGGGAAUAACGCUGGUGGAACCAUGCACUGGAAUGACACACGUCCGGCACAUUUCAGGAUACUAAAAGUGGUUUUAAAGGAGGCCCUGGCUGAAUGCCUCAUGGAUUCUUACAGCUUGGAUGUCCAUGGGGGACGAAGGACCGCAGCUGGCUGUGAGGGUUGAGAUCUCUGUUUACUUAGAUCUCUGCCAACUUCCUUUGGGUCUCCCUAUGGAAUAUAAGACCCCGACUCUUCCUGGUGAAGCAUCUGAUGCACGUUCUAUUCGGCGC
This 836-nucleotide long non-coding RNA is filed under the name Pongo abelii (Sumatran orangutan). Its description in RNAcentral is "lincRNA". The stretch from base 479 to 573 matches the Rfam family "Pvt1 oncogene conserved region 3". Lineage: Eukaryota; Metazoa; Chordata; Mammalia; Primates; Hominidae. The record is from RNAcentral.